GACGAACGCUGGCGGCGUGCUUAACACAUGCAAGUCGAACGGAAAGGCCUGCUUUCCCUUGUGGAUUGCGGGUACUCGAGUGGCGAACGGGUGAGUAACACGUGAGUGAUCUGCCCCCAACUUGGGUAUAAGCCUGGGAAACUGGGUCUAAUUCCCGAUAGGACUGCAGGGUGGUGCCUGUGGUGGAAAACGAUUUUCUAGUGGUUGGGGAUGAGCUCGCGGCCUAUCAGCUUGUUGGUGGGGUAAUGGCCUACCAAGGCGGCGACGGGUAGCCGGCCUGAGAGGGUGGACGGCCACAUUGGGGCUGAGAUACGGCCCAGACUCCUACGGGAGGCAGCAGUGGGGAAUAUUGCACAAUGGGCGGAAGCCUGAUGCAGCGACGCCGCGUGGGGGAUGACGGCCUUCGGGGUGUAAACUCCUUUCGACCGCGAGGAAGCCACCUGGUUGGAAGGGUGGUGACGGUAGUGGUAGAAGAAGCACCGGCUAACUACGU
RNAcentral lists this ribosomal RNA (493 nucleotides) under uncultured bacterium. RNAcentral describes it as "partial 16S ribosomal RNA". It matches the Rfam family "Bacterial small subunit ribosomal RNA", at positions 28 to 506 of the family's 1533-position model. The record is from RNAcentral.